CAGUCAAGAGCCAAGAGCCAAGAUCAACAACGAUCAAGCGAAACGAGUGAGCGUCGUAUACAAGAACAAAACAGCUGAGCGAUGGAGAGAGUUUUUAAAAACAGUUUAAAACUAAACUGCCUUGAGGCCAAGUCCAAUAGUAACAAACGAAACUCUAAAGUGUAAACUGUUGUGCGAUAGAAACGGGAUAUAUGUACAUACGAGUGCAUACCUACAUACGUAUAUAUGUAUAGUAGUGCAUGCGUUCAUUAGUUAAAACAACCCUUGCUGGACAACAUUAACCAAACGACAAA
Ceratitis capitata (Mediterranean fruit fly) is the source of this 293-nucleotide long non-coding RNA. RefSeq lists it as uncharacterized. The record is from RefSeq and is a predicted model, not a curated record. The transcript is spliced from 2 exons. Lineage: Eukaryota; Metazoa; Arthropoda; Insecta; Diptera; Tephritidae.